AGAUGGUGGUGUGAAAGAUUAGAAUAAGACACUCUUGUAUUUCUUCUCACACAAAAACCUAAAAUCGAAACCUUAGAAUCCACCCUAGACCCCACGCCCAAAGAGAUAGAUCUCUUCCUCUAUUUCUCACACACAAAAGCCCACCCCCUCUCUAUUUCAUGCCCCCUAUCACUCAGAAAAGAUUUUUUGUUAUAAAAUUCAACAACAUUUGUUGCACAAAAUGAGAAAGAAUUUAAGGUGGCG
RNAcentral lists this long non-coding RNA (243 nucleotides) under Elaeis guineensis (African oil palm). RNAcentral's name for it is "long non-coding RNA (EGUI_LNC058534)". The record is from RNAcentral. Lineage: Eukaryota; Viridiplantae; Streptophyta; Magnoliopsida; Arecales; Arecaceae.